RNAcentral lists this ribosomal RNA (425 nucleotides) under uncultured bacterium. Its description in RNAcentral is "partial 16S ribosomal RNA". It matches the Rfam family "Bacterial small subunit ribosomal RNA", at positions 354 to 796 of the family's 1533-position model. The record is from RNAcentral.
GUGGGGAAUAUUGGACAAUGGGCGCAAGCCUGAUCCAGCCAUGCCGCGUGAACGAUGAAGGCCUUCGGGUUGUAAAGUUCUUUAGCCGAUGAUUAUAAUGACUGUAGUCGGAAAAUAAGCCCCGGCUAACUUCGUGCCAGCAGCCGCGGUAAUACGAAGGGGGCGAGCGUUAUUCGGAAUCACUGGGCGUAAAGCGUGCGUAGGCGGUCUCGUAAGUUAGGAGUGAAAGCCCAGGGCUCAACCUUGGAAUUGCUCUUAAUACUGCAAGGCUCGAAUCUCGGAGAGGAUAGCGGAAUUUCCAGUGUAGCAGUGAAAUGCGUAGAUAUUGGAAGGAACACCAGUGGCGUAAGCGGCUAUCUGGACGAGUAUUGACGCUGAGGCACGAAAGCGUGGGGAUCAAACAGGAUUAGAAACCCUUGUAGUCC